ACACUCCUGCGGGAGGCAGCAGUGGGGAAUAUUGCACAAUGGGCGCAAGCCUGAUGCAGCCAUGCCGCGUGUAUGAAGAAGGCCUUCGGGUUGUAAAGUACUUUCAGCGGGGAGGAAGGCGAUAAGGUUAAUAACCUUGUCGAUUGACGUUACCCGCAGAAGAAGCACCGGCUAACUCCGUGCCAGCAGCCGCGGUAAUACGGAGGGUGCAAGCGUUAAUCGGAAUUACUGGGCGUAAAGCGCACGCAGGCGGUCUGUCAAGUCGGAUGUGAAAUCCCCGGGCUCAACCUGGGAACUGCAUUCGAAACUGGCAGGCUAGAGUCUUGUAGAGGGGGGUAGAAUUCCAGGUGUAGCGGUGAAAUGCGUAGAGAUCUGGAGGAAUACCGGUGGCGAAGGCGGCCCCCUGGACAAAGACUGACGCUCAGGUGCGAAAGCGUGGGGAGCAAACAGGAUUAGAUACCCUAGCAGUCCCA
RNAcentral lists this ribosomal RNA (473 nucleotides) under uncultured organism. RNAcentral describes it as "partial 16S ribosomal RNA". It matches the Rfam family "Bacterial small subunit ribosomal RNA", at positions 333 to 797 of the family's 1533-position model. The record is from RNAcentral.